This 207-nucleotide ribosomal RNA is filed under the name uncultured bacterium. Its description in RNAcentral is "partial 16S ribosomal RNA". It matches the Rfam family "Bacterial small subunit ribosomal RNA", at positions 568 to 774 of the family's 1533-position model. The record is from RNAcentral.
CGUGUAGGCGGCUCAGUAAGUCCGCUCUGAAAGCCCGGGGCUCAACCCCGGGAGGCGGGUGGAUACUGCUGAGCUUGAGUCCGGAAGAGGCGAGUGGAAUUCCCGGUGUAGCGGUGAAAUGCGCAGAUAUCGGGAGGAACACCAAUGGCGAAGGCAGCUCGCUGGGACGUGACUGACGCUGAGACGCGAAAGCGUGGGGAGCAAACA